AUUUAUAUAGUUUAAAUAAUUAAAACAUUAUAUUUUCAUUAUAAAAUUAAUAAAUUUUAUUUAUAAAUU
Molecule: transfer RNA, 69 nt
Filed under: Virgulibracon endoxylaphagus
Lineage: Eukaryota; Metazoa; Arthropoda; Insecta; Hymenoptera; Braconidae
Description: tRNA-Glu
Source: RNAcentral